UACAGAGGGUGCGAGCGUUGUUCGGAAUUAUUGGGCGUAAAGGGCGCGUAGGCGGCCUGGCAAGUGGAAGGUGAAAUCCCUCGGCUUAACCGAGGAACUGCCCUCCAAACUGCUUGGCUUGAGACCGGGAGAGGUGAGUGGAAUUCCCAGUGUAGCGGUGAAAUGCGUAGAUAUUGGGAGGAACACCAGUGGCGAAGGCGGCUCACUGGACCGGUACUGACGCUGAGGCGCGAAAGCGUGGGGAGCAAACGGG
RNAcentral lists this ribosomal RNA (253 nucleotides) under uncultured bacterium. RNAcentral's name for it is "partial 16S ribosomal RNA". It matches the Rfam family "Bacterial small subunit ribosomal RNA", at positions 524 to 776 of the family's 1533-position model. The record is from RNAcentral.